CUUCACUACUGAUUUUGAUCCUUAGAUUCUUCUGUUUCAGCCUUACCACGUUUUAUACCAGCUCUACAACAAACAUUGAAAGGAAAACUAGGAUAUGCUGCACACUAGAGAGAGAAACAGUUAAACAUGUAAUAAUUAUCUUUCCCUUUUUGCAAACUGUAUUAGAAACUAAUAAACAAUUUUAGUCAUAUUUUCCUAAAUAUGACUUUGGGGUUACCUAAAAUUCUAGAGG
Long non-coding RNA from Pan paniscus (pygmy chimpanzee), 232 nucleotides. The record is from Ensembl. NCBI's taxonomy places the organism in Eukaryota, Metazoa, Chordata, Mammalia, Primates, Hominidae.